Hordeum vulgare subsp. vulgare (domesticated barley) is the source of this 986-nucleotide long non-coding RNA. RefSeq lists it as uncharacterized. The transcript has 3 exons. The record is from RefSeq and is a predicted model, not a curated record. NCBI's taxonomy places the organism in Eukaryota, Viridiplantae, Streptophyta, Magnoliopsida, Poales, Poaceae.
CACCGGCACCACCACCUCACCAAUCUGGCUUCCUCCCCAACCGGCGUAGUACGAGCUUCCUGGGGUGGAGCAGGUCGACAUCCCCACGGCGGAGCCGGCGUCGGGUCCCCAUAGCCUGGGAAACAAAUGAGCUGCCGGCUGUGCCAUUGGUCGAGCCGCAUAGUUUCUUCUCGGGGAGUGCUGCUUGCCUUCUCCUCGAGCUCAUCCCCAGGUCUGACGCCCCUCGACGCUGGCCGUCCCGGAGCUUCCCUCGUCGGCCCAGCAUAGGAUCUGCGGGGAGAGCUGCUCCUCGAGGUCAUCCGGCAGGAUUGCUGCCCCUCGAUGCUUGCCGUCCAGGAGCAUCCCUCGUUGGCAUCGCAUAGGUUCUGCUCGUGGAGAGGUGCUCGUCGAACUCAUCCGGAGGUCUGCCGCCCCUCGAUGCUAGCCGUCCAGGAGCAUCCGUACCAUGAAGUGCAGAUGUCAAGGGAGUGCUCGACGCCGCCCAGCCUCACGACGGCCAUGUCGGGCUGGUGGUCGAAUGUGAGGAUGAUGAUUCGGCAUGUUUGAUUAUUCUUUGCAUUUUGAGGUUGGAUUAUUUUAGCAGGGAGUUUGAACAAUUCAGAUUAUGUCUGAAUGCAUAAUCUGAAGUGAACAAGGUGACAUUCUUGUGAUUGGCGACUAGUAUGAUUGCACUUGUUAGCAAGGAUUGUGAUUCUACUUGCCAAAGUGAAAAAAACCAGUCAUAGCUGAGAAUGUUUAGUGAUUAGCUAGUACAUGGUAAAGUUGUUGAUUUAAUUAUUUGCCAUAAUAGGCCAUGGACGAAGUUAUAAUUUGAAGCGUGUUUUAAUUAACACAGCCUUUGCUCAUACAGACAAAGGAGAAGUGUGGUGUACAGGUAGGGAUAUCGAAUGGUGAAACUAUAUACUUAAAAGCAUGGUAGCUUUCCAGCCAACAACAAUUGUUGGGGUAUGGCAAAUACUGGAUCACGACAUUGCAGAAAAGCUAUA